Drosophila rhopaloa is the source of this 280-nucleotide long non-coding RNA. RefSeq lists it as uncharacterized. NCBI's taxonomy places the organism in Eukaryota, Metazoa, Arthropoda, Insecta, Diptera, Drosophilidae. The transcript is spliced from 3 exons. The record is from RefSeq and is a predicted model, not a curated record.
CCGAAAGUCUGUGUGUGUGAGUGUGUUACUCAAGGAUCAUAUUUGGUGAUGCCUACUUAUUUGGGUUGAUCACCAGGAUGCAGGAUCAAGGACCUAAUAUGGUUUAGUGUGCGCCUGGGGAGUGUAUGCUGGAGGCAUAUGGCGGUACCAUCACUUGAACCGGAUGCAGUGCAUCAAGAAACCAACGGACACAUGAAGUAAAUCAAAAUUGUUAACAAUAAGUAAGAAUAAGGCAUUAUAAGCCGGAGAAUUUCGCCGCAACAUGGACUACCAAAAACAG